GGACCCUGACAGGAAGACACCAUGAUCAAGCAGGUGGUUUUCCAAGGUGGAGUUUCAUCCACUGUACUCAGGUGUGCUGACCCCUGUUACUUCCCUAAAUGCAGAAAAGUCAACUGCAUAAUUUUUGGUAGUGGGUGACUGCAUUUGCACUCUCACG
This is a small nuclear RNA of Strigops habroptila (Kakapo), 157 nucleotides long. Its record names the gene U1. It matches the Rfam family "U1 spliceosomal RNA". From Rfam's summary of the family: U1 is a small nuclear RNA (snRNA) component of the spliceosome (involved in pre-mRNA splicing). The record is from Ensembl. Lineage: Eukaryota; Metazoa; Chordata; Aves; Psittaciformes; Psittacidae.